Molecule: non-coding RNA, 49 nt
Organism: Schistosoma mansoni
Lineage: Eukaryota; Metazoa; Platyhelminthes; Trematoda; Strigeidida; Schistosomatidae
Source: Rfam
AUCCAGCUGACGAGUUCCCAAAUAGGACGAAAUGCGCGUCAAACUGGAU